This 607-nucleotide ribosomal RNA is filed under the name uncultured Actinomycetes bacterium. RNAcentral describes it as "bacterial SSU rRNA". It matches the Rfam family "Bacterial small subunit ribosomal RNA", at positions 58 to 694 of the family's 1533-position model. The record is from RNAcentral. Lineage: Bacteria; Bacillati; Actinomycetota; Actinomycetes.
CAAGUCGAACGGGAAAGUGGGGCAACCCAUGAGUACAGUGGCGUACGGGCUGUAGUAACACGUGGAUGAUCUACCUCUUAGUGGGGAAUAACCCUUUGGAAACCGGGGCUAAUACCGCAUAAGCUCGGGAGAGGAAAGCAGCAAUGCGCUGAGAGAGGAGUCCGCGGCCGAUUAGCUAGUUGGUAGGGUAAAAGCCUACCAAGGCAAAGAUCGGUAGCCGGCCUGAGAGGGCACACGGCCACACUGGCACUGAAACACGGGCCAGACUCCUACGGGAGGCAGCAGUGGGGAAUCUUGCACAAUGGGGGCAACCCUGAUGCAGCGACGCCGCGUGAGCGAUGAAGCCCUUCGGGGUGUAAAGCUCUUUCGGCAGGGAAGAUAAUGACGGUACCUGCAGAAGCAGCUGCGGCUAACUACGUGCCAGCAGCCGCGGUAAUACGUAGGCAGCGAGCGUUGUUCGGAGUUACUGGGCGUAAAGGGUGUGUAGGCGGUUGCUUAAGUUUGGUGUGAAAUCUCCCGGCUCAACUGGGAGGGUGCGCCGAAUACUGAGUGACUCGAGUGCGGGAGAGGAGAGUGGAAUUCCUGGUGUAGCGGUGAAAUGCGUAGA